Molecule: ribosomal RNA, 443 nt
Filed under: uncultured bacterium
Lineage: Bacteria
Description: partial 16S ribosomal RNA
Rfam family: Bacterial small subunit ribosomal RNA
Source: RNAcentral
CCUACGGGUGGCAGCAGUGGGGAAUAUUGGGCAAUGGGCGCAAGCCUGACCCAGCAACGCCGCGUGAAGGAAGAAGGCGUUCGGGUUGUAAACUUCUUUUUUUGAGGACGAAACAAAUGACGGUACUCAAUGAAUAAGCCACCGCUAACUACGUGCCAGCAGCCGCGGUAAUACGUAGGUCGCAAGAGUUAUUCGGAUUUACUGGGUGUAAAGGGCGUGUAGGCGGGACUGCAAGUCAGAUGGGAAAACCAUGGGGUCAACCCACGGCCUGCAUUUGAAACUGUAGUUCUUGAGUGAUGGAGAGGCAUGCGGAAUGCGGGGUGUAGCGGUGAAAUGCGUAGAUAUACCGAGGAACACCAGUGGCGAAGGCGGCAUGCUGGAGAUUAACUGACGCUGAGGCGCGAAAGCGUGGGGAGCGAACAGGAUUAGAUACCCCUGUAGUC